AACCUGCCCCAUACAGAGGGAUAGCCUCGGGAAACCGGGAUUAAAACCUCAUAAUACGAAGGAUUCACAUGUUUCCUUCGUCAAAGAUUUAUCGGUAUGGGAUGGGCCUGCGUCUGAUUAGCUAGUUGGUGGGGUAACGGCCUACCAAGGCAACGAUCAGUAGCCGACCUGAGAGGGUAAUCGGCCACAUUGGAACUGAGACACGGUCCAAACUCCUACGGGAGGCAGCAGUGGGGAAUAUUGCACAAUGGGCGAAAGCCUGAUGCAGCAACGCCGCGUGAGCGAUGAAGGCCUUUGGGUCGUAAAGCUCUGUCCUUGGGGAAGAAAAAAAUGACGGUACCCUUGGAGGAAGCCCCGGCUAACUACGUGCCAGCAGCCUCGGUAAUACGUAGGGGUCAAGCGUUAUCCGGAAUUAUUGGGCGUAAAGAGUGCGUAGGUGGUUUUGUAAGC
Molecule: ribosomal RNA, 450 nt
Filed under: uncultured bacterium
Lineage: Bacteria
Description: bacterial SSU rRNA
Rfam family: Bacterial small subunit ribosomal RNA
Source: RNAcentral